Molecule: long non-coding RNA, 708 nt
Filed under: Brachypodium distachyon (stiff brome)
Lineage: Eukaryota; Viridiplantae; Streptophyta; Magnoliopsida; Poales; Poaceae
Description: long non-coding RNA (BDIS_LNC002122)
Source: RNAcentral
GGGCUUUCAGUGAAACACACGAUGACAUAAGGACAGGUGGAUGGGCAAUGUGCACAAUGUUACGGCUUGUUAUGAAAUAAGAUGACGCUCCUAUUAUAAUCUCUAGGGUUGGAUACGGUAAUUGUCUGGGAAUUAUGAAGUAAGAUGACGCUCUUAGUGAUAUUCUGUAGGGUUAGAUGCGGUAAUUGUCUGGGAGUGUCCAGAUCGAAAUAGAUUACCAAGUCCUUGUCAAUGCCUUCAACAAUAUUUACUAUAGAACGACUAUCCAUUUCUUUUUUUUAUUCUUGCCAAGUCCUUGUCGAUGUCUUCAACAAUUUUUUUUAUUCUAUUAAAGAAAGAGGCACGAGCUGGCAGUGAAGGAACAUUCUAACCUCAAACAUGAACUCCAAAAUACCAACGACCAAAAACUUGCGAACAACAAACCAAAAUUUGCAAAGAAAAGUGACAUAAAAAUCACUCAAGAUACGGAAUAAAGAUACAAAUCUAAGUAUCUAACUGCCGAAGAGAAAUACUUCCUCGAAUUCAUACUACUUGUUCAUAUUAUUUGUCUCAAAUUUGUCUAAAAUGGAUGUAUCUAUGUUUAAAAACUCUAGAUACACGUAUUUCGACAAACAGUGAGUCGGAGGGAGUAACAAAAAUCACUCAAAAUCGAUAGAACUACAUAUGAGAAAUAGAUAACCAAGAAAAACAAGACCGUAAAAUUUACAC